UACGUAGGGGGCAAGCGUUGUCCGGAAUCAUUGGGCGUAAAGAGCGCGUAGGCGGUCCGGUAAGUCCGCUCUGAAAGUCCGGGGCUCAACCCCGGGAGGCGGGCGGAUACUGCUGGGCUAGAGUCCGGAAGAGGCGAGUGGAAUUCCCGGUGUAGUGGUGGAAUGCGUAGAGAUCGGGAGGAACACCAGUGGCGAAGGCGGUGGCCUGGACCGAUGCUGACGCUGAGGCGCGAAAGCGUGGGGAGCGAUCCGG
This 253-nucleotide ribosomal RNA is filed under the name uncultured bacterium. RNAcentral's name for it is "partial 16S ribosomal RNA". It matches the Rfam family "Bacterial small subunit ribosomal RNA", at positions 524 to 776 of the family's 1533-position model. The record is from RNAcentral.